GGGAGUAGAGCUCAGUGGUACAGCACAUGCCUAGCAUGAAUAAGGUCCUGGGUUCAGUCCCCAGCACAUCCA
RNAcentral lists this transfer RNA (72 nucleotides) under Camelus bactrianus (Bactrian camel). It matches the Rfam family "tRNA". Rfam says of the family: Transfer RNA (tRNA) molecules are approximately 80 nucleotides in length. Their secondary structure includes four short double-helical elements and three loops (D, anti-codon, and T loops). Lineage: Eukaryota; Metazoa; Chordata; Mammalia; Artiodactyla; Camelidae. RNAcentral also lists the same sequence under 2 other names. The record is from Rfam by way of RNAcentral.